Scylla paramamosain (green mud crab) is the source of this 102-nucleotide small nuclear RNA. NCBI's taxonomy places the organism in Eukaryota, Metazoa, Arthropoda, Malacostraca, Decapoda, Portunidae. The record is from RefSeq and is a predicted model, not a curated record.
GUCAUCAAAGCUAGACAUAUACUAGAAUUGCAUGAUACGGAGAAGAUUAGCAUGGCCCCUGUGCAAGGAUGACAAAAUAGUAAAGAAAUAGAAAUAGUGUUU